UUGAGAUGCCGGACUCGCUGCACACAGACGGCGAUCUGUCAGUGCAUUAGCCAAAGCCGUUCGCACCACCUGUGUUGGAUCAGGAUGAGCUCUGCGAAAUACAAAGCUGUUUCUGGCCUUCCAGAUCUGCCACAGCGUAUGCACAAUAAUGUCCAGAUCAGAUUCUGGGGUAUGUGUGGUGCAUAACUUGCAUAGAGAGUCAGAAAUAACAUGUCGACGGUAGAGAUUCUCACAUGUGGAAAGAGCAUUGUGGCAGAGAGACCACAAAAAGACACGGAGUUUUGGAGAUGUUUUGAGCUGCCAGAUCUUACGCCAAAGGGUUGUAGGGGCUUGGUAGGAAGAUGAUGCGUUGUUGCUGUCAUGCAUAUUAGCUUUUGCUCUAAGGUAGUUAUAACAACUCUUGACUGUAUAUUCGCCGUCUUGAGUGCCUUUCCAUAUGAUCUUAUCAGUUA
Eucalyptus grandis is the source of this 452-nucleotide long non-coding RNA. RefSeq lists it as uncharacterized. The record is from RefSeq and is a predicted model, not a curated record. NCBI's taxonomy places the organism in Eukaryota, Viridiplantae, Streptophyta, Magnoliopsida, Myrtales, Myrtaceae. The transcript has 2 exons.